Molecule: long non-coding RNA, 1888 nt
Organism: Heterocephalus glaber (naked mole-rat)
Lineage: Eukaryota; Metazoa; Chordata; Mammalia; Rodentia; Bathyergidae
Source: Ensembl
CGCACACCUGUAAUCCCAUCACUCAGGAGGCUGAGGCAGGAGGAUUGCCAGAAGUUUGAAGCCAGCCUGGGCUACAUAGCGUGGAUGAUGGUGAGGACAUUCCCCGGGAGAUGCUGAUUGGGAUCUAUGAGCGAAUCCGGAAGCGGGAGCUGAAGACAAACGAGGACCACGUGUCCCAGGUGCAGAAGGUGGAGAAACUCAUCGUGGGGAAGAAGCCGAUUGGAUCCCUGCACCACGGGCUUGGCUGUGUGAGUACCUCUCUGCUUCUGCCUCUGGCUGCUGUCCACCUGCCCCGGGGAGCCCCCAUAUGUCCUGCCAUGUCCCUGGCCAGGUCCCCGUGCUCUGGGAGCCAGACUUCUGGCCGCUGAGUUCACUUCGCCCGACCAACACUCGGUUUCCUGGUUCUCUGGACUCACCUCUUGGUGGCCUCGAGACCACAGGCACAAGGGAGGGCUCCAGGGUCAGGCCUGUGGUGGACUCAAUUGUCACCCCUUGGGGUGGCCUCGGAUGGGCUCUGCCAAGAGCCUGCCCCUGGCCCUCACAUCCAGGCCCUGCUUCUCCCAGCCCCAUCCCCACUGCACUGCCUGUGACUGCCCUGCCCUGUGGCCUCAGAGCACAUGGGCACACACUAGGCCAGCAGCAUGGGACACGUCCCCAUCUCUGUCCCCAUCCCCAGUGCCCCAGCGAGACACCUAGACCCCCACACUCCUGUCCUCGACCCUCUCCAGCCCUCGUCCCCCCUGCCUCUCCCCCCUCACACUUCUUUCCCAGGGCACCAGGUGCAUCAGGGCCCGUCCCCUGUGCCCUGUUUCUGUACAAUCAAUCUGUGUCCUAUGAGAGCCAAGGUACUCCCGAGCCAGGCCCAGGCCUCCCUGAUUUGUCCCCCAGCCCUGAGACCCCAGUUAGAACCUUGGGAGCGAGGUUGGGGGAAGCAGGUGCACCGUGGGGGUGUUUGGAGCAGGUGGGCACAGUGGAGGAGGCCUAGGCAGCCACCCUGGGCACAGCUGUGGCUCGGAUCUUGGAGGGGCCCUUCUGGGUUGGAACCACUGAAACCUGUGGGGGCCCGGCAGUGAGGGAGCAUCCCACAGGCUGGAACCAAAUCCCGGCCCUGCAGCCUCCUGGCUUGUUGAUGGAAGGUGCUGUCUCUGCCCCAUCGGCGGCUGGUCUGCUACUGCCGGCUCUUUGAGGUUCCCGACCCCAACAAGCCCCAGAAGCUGGGGCUGCAUCAGCGCGAAAUCUUCCUGUUUAACGACCUCCUGGUGGUACGUGGGUGGCUUGUGCGCUGUGUCCUGGGGCCCCGGUCUCCGUCUGGCGGUGUCUUGGGUUACAAGGGACAGAAUCCAACCCAAACUGGUGCCCAUGGAAAGCAGCCUUCCUUGGUACAGGUGAACAUGCAGCAGAGCGUUUAGAUCUCAGCCACAGCUGUUUUCCGGGACUCCACUCUCUGACCUCUGAGCAGUGUGGGCUGCUUCUCUGGGGGGCUCCUUGCUGGCAGGCACUCUCGAGGAGGGAGGAGGGAGGAGGGAGGAUGCCCUCAGUGCCAGGGCCACCCAGUUCAGAGCCAGUAGGGUUCAUGAGCCUUUUGAGCCUCACAGAGUGAACCUAUGCCUCCCAGCCUCACCCCCUGCCCCAGCCAAUCACUGUGGCUUCUAGGGGGAGUGAGUUCUGAUUGGCUCAGUCUGUGGCCCAAGCCCUACCCCCUGGAGCUGGGAGGAGAUUUCUCUCUUUCCUUCAGAUUAGGCUGAGGGCUGGGGCGGGGCGGGGGGCAAGUUCCCCAGCCGAAGGAAGGCUUGUGCUGCUCCCGUGCCAGGUCUGACUUCUCCACAGGGCUGGUCCCUGAAAGACCAAGGCCUGACCUCGAGGUCAGCACACGGGGCCCUGACUGCCC